Malania oleifera is the source of this 106-nucleotide small nucleolar RNA. NCBI's taxonomy places the organism in Eukaryota, Viridiplantae, Streptophyta, Magnoliopsida, Santalales, Ximeniaceae. The record is from RefSeq and is a predicted model, not a curated record.
AGUUGAUGAUGUGGGCAUGUGUGCAAAAGGUCCCUAAAGCACUCCCAAGUAUUAAAAAAUUGCUUACCAUCUAUCUGUGAGAAACUAGUGACAGCUCUUCUAAGCU